Molecule: long non-coding RNA, 5791 nt
Filed under: Salvia miltiorrhiza (redroot sage)
Lineage: Eukaryota; Viridiplantae; Streptophyta; Magnoliopsida; Lamiales; Lamiaceae
Description: long non-coding RNA (SMIL_LNC010527)
Source: RNAcentral
UCGUGUAACAUGAGUACAAUGAAUAAGACAUAUAAUACUAAUGAACAAAACGUAUAUCUAAUUAACAAGAUGUAUAUACUGAUGAAAAAUAAAAUUUAAAAAAUUCGUAAUGAAUAAGAUAUAUAUACUGAUGAACAGGGCCGUAUAUACUGAUGAACAAUGCAGUAUAUACUGAUGAAUAACAAAAUUUAAAAUAUUCUGCUCCCUUCAGGAUUCGAACCCUGCGAAAAAAAAUCACCCUCCAGAUACAAUAUCAGUCAUAGGAUUGAUAAAAUAAACGCACCAGAUCGUGCCCUAGAUCUCACUAAAAUUAGGGGGUCUCAUUGGAGCGGGCCCCCUAUAUAUAUAUAUAUAUAUAUAUAUAUAUAAUAUAUAAAAUUAUUAUAUUUCUAUAUAGUAAUAAUAAAAUAUAUAAUAANAAUAAAUAAAAUAAUAUAUAAUAAUAUAAUAAUAAUACUACUAUAUAAUAUAUUAUAUAUAUAUAUAUAUAUAUAUAUAUAUAUAUAUAUAUAUAGGGGGCGCGCUCCAGUGAGACCCCAUAAGUUUCGUGAAACACUAGGACAAUGAAUAAGACAUAUAAUACUAAUGAACAAAACGCAUAUCUAAUGAACAAGAUGUAUAUAUUGAUGAAAAUAAAUUUAAAAAUUCGUAAUGAAUAAGACAUAUAUACUGAUGAACAGGGCCGUAUAUACUGAUGAACAACGCAGCAUAUACUGAUGAAUAACAAAUUUAAAAUAUUCUGCUCCCUCCAGGAUUCGAACCCUGCGAAAAAAAUCACCCUCCAGAUACAAUAUCAGCCAUAGGAUUGAUGAAAUAAACGCACCAGAUCGUGCCCUGGAUCUCACUAAAUUAGGGGGUCUAUUGGAGCCGUACCUACUACUAUAUAUAUAUAUAUAUAUAUAUAUAUAUAUAUAUAUAUUGAGAUAUAGAAUGUGGUUUAUAUAAGAACCUUCUUAUUUAUGAAAAUAAUUACUUCAUCUGUUCCAUGAAGCAUGACCAAGUUCUUUUCGACACGAAUUUUAAGAAAAUUUGGUAUUUUAUGUGUUAAAUGUGAUAGAUAUAAAAGUGAAAAGGUGAAUAAAUAAUAAUUUUUUUGUCAUAUAAAGAAACUGGUCAAGUUUCGUGGGGACAAACCAAAAAGAAAACUUAAUCAUGCUUCGUGGGACAGAAGGAGUAAAAUUUUUUACUCGACAAAAAUCGUGAAUUCGCUAUAUAAUUUAAGAUAUUGGACGUAUAAAUUACUGUAACUCUCAAAAUAAAAAAUUUCAUAAUUUAUUGCACAUUAUGUAUAAUUUACGACAUUCAGGACGUGUUUGCAUUUUAUCCAUCUAAAUAAAAGGAUGAUAUAAUGAGAUAAAAAUUUAUCAUUUAAAGUGAGAAUCACAUUUUUUUUAUCUUGUUUAGGUUGAAUAGUAAGUUGGUAAAAAGUUAUACCAUCCUCAUUUAGAUACAAAAUUAUCUAUAUUCCAAAGAAAAAUGUGUUGUCCGAAAUUUUAUAUCAUCCAUCCGAAUUUUUUAUUAUUAUCAAAAUAAACGAAGUAUAAGAUAGUAGCUUAAGUUUAUUCCUUUUUUUAUACCUUCAAAACAAACCCACCCUUAAUGUAUAUUAUUUCUUUUUUCUUUUUUGAGGUGGUCUUGGGUACAUCCGGGUGUACCGUACAAUUGGGUUACACCUUCACUUAAAUUUUGACCCGCACUCUGAUUUUAACUUAUAUACUGAUCCAAUCCAUAUAAAUUAAUACUCUCUUGAUCCGCCAAGAUUAUGUAAAAAUUACUAUAUCGGACGUCCGCCAAGAUUAUGUCACUUUCCUUUUAAGGCAAUGGUCCCACCAUCCUCUUUAAUAUUUUAUCCUUACUAACACUCUUUAUUUACAAAAAAAUCCACCACAAAUUCAAUCUUCAACCACACAUCUCAUAAAAUGGUGGGACAUUUUCUCCACUACAUCAAAAUUAUCACCAAUUUUAUUAAAUCUUGUACCCAAACAAUUUUACAUAAUUUUAACAGACGUAGUAAAUAUUAUAUUAGCUACGGAUCAAACCGCAAUCGGUAUACUUAAGAUUUUGUGUUCUUUUAUCGAGGAAACCCUUAAUAUAUAAUUUACUGAAACUAUUAUUGUUCUCCUAUAGGAAGAUGAUCAUUUGGACAUUUUUAUAUAGAUAUACGUGUACAUAUUUAUCUCUCAAAGGCCCCUAGAGAGAUGAAGAUAGUCCAUUUGGUUUUGAUAUGGACAACUACAAGAGUGACGUUUGGGAGUUUUACGUUUGGCAAUCUGUCAAGUCGUGAUUCUCCAUUCCUCCUCGGACUGGGAGUGGGUCACCAAGGUCGACUGCCUGCUAAACUCCCACUUUAUAUUUCUUGCCUCUAUGAAUUCUAAAUAAUGUAAAUAUUCUCUCCGUCCCGUAAAGCAUGAUCAAAUGUUUUUUUGAUUUGUUUUAUGAAGUUAGAUCAAUUCUUUAUAUGGUAAAAAAUAAUUUUUUAUUCACCUUUUCACUUUUACACCUACCACACUUAACACACAAAAUAUCAAUUUCUUAAAACUCAUGCCGAAAAGAACUUGAUCAUGCUUCAUGGGACGAAUGAAGUAUAUUUUAUGUAUUUUCUAGAAUAUGAAUAAUUUUUUUAUAACAAACACACUACAAGAAAAAAUUUAACAAAGCGAAAUUAUCUCGAUCAUUAAUUAAUAUCAUUAGAGGUUGAAUAGCGAUCGAAAUGACUUUUUUUUAAUUCAUUUAAUGACCAAAAAUUUCGUUCGAUAGUUAAUAUUGUUAUUUUUUAUUUUAUUUUAUAUUAUUUUAAAAUUGAUCAUUAAUUCGAUCAUUAAUAUUAUAUUUUAUUAUUAUUUUAAAAUUGAUUAUUAUUAUUAUUUUAAAUCAUUCAUUAAUUCGGAUGUUAACAUUUUUUUAUUAUUAUUAUAUUGUAGUCGACCGUUAAUAUUUUUUUAUUUUAAAAAAUCAAUCGUUAAUAGGUGCUAGUUAUAUGAAUGAAUGAGAUUGCAUAAUGAAGAAAAGUUUGAAUGUAUUAAUAGGUGCUAAUUAUAUCAAUAAUAUACAUCUUUAUUACUGAUGAUCAUUUAAAAGAAAUUUCAAAGUUAAUCGUAUUUAACUUAAAGCAACGAGAAAAGACUUGUAAGAUAAUCAUCAAUUUGGAGUUGGAUUAUUAUAAUUAAAAAUAUUUUUUUAAUGAUCGAAUUUUUUAUCGUUAAUUUAUUGCAAAAAAAAUCACCUCCAAUUUUGAUCAAUUUGUCAAACUUUUGGUUUCGAACAAAUUCAUGUUACUCGAGAAAUAAAGAUUCGGAUUUCAUGGGCUCGAGAAGAGUAAUAUUUUGAUAUAUAAUUUGAUGUUUAAACACUUACUUGAUCUGUUGAUGAUUACUUCUAUGAUGGGGUUUGGUAUUUCACCCAGGAAUUUAUUAAUGCUUUCCCUGAGAUUGUUGGUGAUAUUUUGGUGCUUUCUAUUGGCGAGGAGUCUGACACUCGUUACUGAAAACCUUCUCUUCAUGGCACGGUAACUGCUGCUCUUGCAUUUGCUAAUCACUGUCAUCGUUUUCCUCGCGUAAGCUGGGGUUCUUGGAUCUGGAGGCCCUACAUUCCAGUUAGACGUUCUUUAGGUUGCUGGCGGAUUCUUCAUGAUCAUCUUCCUACCUAUGAUCACCUGAUUAGAUAUGGUAUGAUCAUGCCCAACCAUUGUGUCUUUUGUUUCUCUUCGGGUGAAAUUAUGGAUCAUGUUUUAUGGUCUUGCGGCUACGUUAGACCUAUUUGGAUGGAGUUCUGGAGUUGGUUUCAGUUAACUGAGACUGCUGUUGCUGUUGAUAUGCAUAGUUUUUUAGUUAGGGCCUGGGGUUAUAAGUUCAGUUCUCAGCAUAAAUAUACUCUUUUGAUUAACUUAUAAUUGAGGAACCCCCUCCCCACAGAGUUAGAAGUUAGAAUAAAUAUACUCUUUUGAUUAACUUAUAAUAGAUGAUUCAGAUUAAAUCAAAUUUGUAAUUUAAUAAUUAAUAGUAUCAGUAGUAAAUUGUAUUUUUCGUUUAUAUGCAAAGAGAGAAAAAUCCGCGAUUUGAUUAUUCUUCAUUCUCUGGCAUAAAUAAAUCAGAUGAAUUUAACUUAUGCUCAAUGCAUUUUUCAAUAUAUUUGAAUGAACUUAUAAUUAUUUGUGUCGAAUUUAGUGUGCGUGGGAGAUUGUCUAGACGACUUUAUUUUGAACUUAUAGUUAUUUUGAACUUUAUCUUAAUGAAUUUAUAGUUAUUUUGAUGAAACUUAUAAAAAUUUGUUUUAAACUUUAUGCUAAACAUAAUAAUAUAUCUCACAAUCAUUAUAAUUCUGCUGAACAUGAUAAAUACUUUUAAUGGACUUUAUUUAGAAACGUAAAGAACGUAAUAGAGAAGAAAUAAUUGCUUAUGAAUUCCUAACAUAUCUUCCAUAAACGUAUAUACCAUAAACGUAUCCUCCAAAAUUAUGCAAAUUUGAUUAAGAUAUGAUAUGGUCUGGCAGCCGUUCGAUUGCAUCAAAUAAAUGGUUAGGAUUAUUUCUCAAUUCUACAAACAUUUGCCUCUUUCAGUUGAACCUCUCUCUCUCUCUCUCUCUCUAUAUAUAUAUAUAUAUAUAUACACACACACACAAAGCGAUAUAUAUAUAUACACACACACACAGAGAGAGAGAGAAAGGUUCAACAGAGAAUGCCAAAUAUUUAGAGAAUAGAGAAUUCGUGAAACAAAAACGAACAGAUCUAUAAUUUUGAUGAACAAAUCAAUGUACCGCAUGAACAUAAAUUUGCCCCGGGUUCGAAUCCUACUGGUGGCGAGUUUUUCUCUAUUUUUACUAAAUACGUCUAUUCAUUACUUAUGUUGAUUUGUUUGUAAAAUGUAUAGAUUUGUUCAUGAUGAACAAAAAGAUAAUUCUCUAUAGAACUCAACCCUAUAUAUAUGGGUGGGCUAGAAUAAAAACACAUUUUUUAUAUAAACUAUAAAUGACUUAAAAUGUAUGAAUUUUAUGUAGAACAUGUAUGAAUUGACUGUGUAACUGUAUGAAUUGCGAAAAAUAAGUUUUUUGCUACCUUUGAGAUUCAAACUUAGGACCUGAAUUCAUCCAACAAGGUGAUGAACCAGCCGUAGAUCUUGAUGAUCUAAGGGCUGAAAAUUGUUCCUAUUUUAUGCAAAAAAAUGUGUUUUUAUUAUAUAUAUAUAUAUAUAUAUAUAUAUAUAUAUAUAGUAGAGAGAGAGAGAGAGAGAGAGAGUUUGGUUCAAGUGUAAACUCUAUCUUACGGUGAAAACUAGAUCCUAUGAACAAACACAUAAAUACGUGAACAAAAGAUAGUCAAAUCGUGAACAAUUAAAUGUUCACGUGUAUACAAGAUUCAACCAUCUUUGUUCAUGUAUUUAUGUAUUACAAUUGUUCACGACUUGAUUAUCUCUUGUUCAGGUAUUUAUGUGUUGUUUAUAGGAUCUAGUUUUCACCGUAAGAUAGAGUUUACACUUUAUCCUUCCAUUAUAUAUAUAUAUAUAUAUAGUAGGGCGCGCUCCAAUGACGACCCCUUAUUUUCGUGUAACAUGAGUACAUGAAUAAGACAUAUAAUAUUAAUGAAACAAACGUAUAUACUAAUGAACAAGAUGUAUAUACUGAUAGAAAAUUAAAUUAAAAUUCGUAAUGAAUAAGACAUGUAUACUAAUGAACAGGGCCGUAUAUACUGAUGAACAAUGCAUUAUAUACUGAUGAAUAACAAAAUUUAAAAUAUUAUGCUCCCCUAUCACCCUCUAGAUACAAUAUCAGCCCAUAGGAUUGAUAAAAUAAACGCACC